AUUGAACGCUGGCGGCAUGCCUUACACAUGCAAGUCGAACGGAUUGAAGGGGCUUGCUCCUUCAGUUAGUGGCGAACGGGUGAGUAAAGCAUCGGAACGUACCCAGUCGUGGGGGAUAACGUAGCGAAAGUUACGCUAAUACCGCAUACGAUCUGAGGAUGAAAGCGGGGGAUCGCAAGACCUCGCGCGAUUGGAGCGGCCGAUGUCGGAUUAGCUAGUUGGUGAGGGAAAGGCUCACCAAGGCGACGAUCCGUAGCUGGUCUGAGAGGAUGGUCAGCCAUACUUGAACUGAGACACGGUCCAGACGCCGACGGGAGGCCGAAGUGGGGAAUUUUGGACAAUGGGGGAAACCCUGAUCCAGCCAUGCCGGGUGAGUGAAGAAGGCCUUCGGGUUGUAAAGCUCUUUCAGUCGGAAAGAAAAGGCUCCGGAUAAUACCUGGAGUUGAUGACGGUACCGACAGAAGAAGCACCGGCUAACUACGUGCCAGCCGCCGCAGUAA
Molecule: ribosomal RNA, 500 nt
Filed under: uncultured bacterium
Lineage: Bacteria
Description: partial 16S ribosomal RNA
Rfam family: Bacterial small subunit ribosomal RNA
Source: RNAcentral